This is a long non-coding RNA of Neopsephotus bourkii (Bourke's parrot), 1528 nucleotides long. RefSeq lists it as uncharacterized. The transcript has 3 exons. The record is from RefSeq and is a predicted model, not a curated record. Lineage: Eukaryota; Metazoa; Chordata; Aves; Psittaciformes; Psittacidae.
CGAGCUUUCACACUGAAUUAAGCAUGUUCAGAUGGUGAACUAGGUCUUCUAUUACAAUUCUGAAUUAAAGCUGUCUAUAAAGCUUUGGUGUCUGUUUCUUCACUGCUGACUGCUUUCCCUUGUUCUGCAGCUGGUCUGUGGAAAGUCACCACUGAUACCUCUCCUAAUCAUCCACAAUCACAAAAAGUUAUUCCUGUUCCAGUAUCAUUCUCUUAAUGGGGCUCUGCCUCUGCUUUUGGUUUUUCAUGGCUUUAUUUAUUUAUUUAUUUAUUUAUUAUAUUCUGCCCAUGAAAGCAAAAGAGAAGAUACAAAGAAGAAUCAGCCAGGAGGUCUGCAGAGGUGUGUAUUCCUAAAUCAUCUUUUGGAAAAGUCCAGGUUUAGGUGAGGCAAAUACACAUUAAUCUAGUGAUUCCAAGCUCAUUUUGGCUCAGCUGGUGGUAUUUCUUUGAGUUAAAAAGAAAGUGUAAGGUGUUUCUUUUUUAGUUGCAGAUCCUAACAAGGAUGCUGUUUCAGUGUCUGGUCAAGCUAGAGUAAAAUAUGGCAGCUUAACUGGAGGUUCUGCUGUUAGAUGAUCCAGUUGCAAAAGGAGCUCACUGAGCUGGACAUGGGUAGAAAGUAGCCAUAUAACAAUAUGUAUUGUGACAUAAGCUUUCAUUUCUCACCACACUCUCCUCAAGGUCCUAACCCUAUUCACUGCUGGAAGUCUAAAUAUAUUCCUGCAAGAAUCAGGAUUAGUUGUACAAUUUGAGAUGCUGCUUCAGUGUGAGCAAUGCCUACAACCAGUGAUAAAGGGGGAAAAACACAUGGGGAAGGAGCUGAAGGCAAAUAAAAAAUAUUUUCAGGAAGCUGUGAAGAACUGGUUCCUACUGCUGCCACAGAUCUUUUUAUAUUAAAAAAAAAAAAAAUUAUCACUAACUCCUGUAUUUCAGCUUCCUUAUUGGUUUUUACAAUGAGGAAACCUGAGCUCAACAGGAAUACAUCUUAAAAACAGAGAAGUGUUAUAAAUAUAACUCAAAAAUCACAAAGGAAAAUAGUAUCCUAACAAUUCCAGGCUGGACACUGAGCAUGUGGGCACUUCUUGUAAUUUUGUCCAUAAUGUCUCUGUCUGUAAGUUCCCUACUUGGAAAAUAAGGGUUCUUUAUGGCAAGAGAAUGCAUCACCAUGUAAUAUGAGCACUGCUCCCAGCUCCAUUCAUCUGAAGCUGGGAAAAAGUUCUGAGGUUCCUCUUCCCCUUGAGAGAAAUCAAAGUUCAGGAAGCCUUUAGAGAUGUUAGGCUGCUCUUCCCUACUCUGCAGCCCUGAGACAGCCUCCAGCAACAUGCUACUUCAUUAUCCAGAAAAUCUGCACUGCACAUUAUUCCUACUGGACAACACAGGGAGUGUUUUUCUUGAGAAUCAAGGAGCAGCAGCACUCCUGCUGUGAAGGAGAAAGCAGACUGAUGAUUGAGAAAGUAUAUGACAGCAAAUUCAGAACAGGAGAAUUAAUCACAAAACAGAAACUUCCAUGACUUCUUUUUUUCCUUUCUUUC